RNAcentral lists this ribosomal RNA (422 nucleotides) under uncultured bacterium. RNAcentral's name for it is "bacterial SSU rRNA". It matches the Rfam family "Bacterial small subunit ribosomal RNA", at positions 355 to 774 of the family's 1533-position model. The record is from RNAcentral.
UAAGGAAUAUUGGUCAAUGGACGCAAGUCUGAACCAGCCAUGCCGCGUGGAGGAUUAAGGCCCUCUGGGUUGUAAACUCCUUUUAUCUGGGAAGAAAUGUACUUUUUCUUGAGUACUUGACGGUACCAGAGGAAUAAGCACCGGCUAACUCCGUGCCAGCAGCCGCGGUAAUACGGAGGGUGCAAGCGUUAUCCGGAUUCACUGGGUUUAAAGGGUGCGUAGGUGGGCAGGUAAGUCAGUGGUGAAAUCUCCGGGCUUAACCCGGAAACUGCCGUUGAUACUAUUUGCCUUGAAUAUUGUGGAGGUAAGCGGAAUAUGUCCUGUAGCGGUGAAAUGCUUAGAUAUGACAUAGCACACCAAUUGCGGAGGCAGCUUACUACAUAUAAAUUGACGCUGAGGCACGAAAGCGUGGGGAUCAAACA